GAUGAACGCUAGCUACAGGCUUAACACAUGCAAGUCGCGGGACCGGCGCACGGGGGAGUAACGAGUAGCCAACCUGCCCUUCACCACGGGAUAACCCGGAGAAAGGCGGACGAAUACCGUAUGGUGAAGGAGGGGGAUGCGUCCGAUUAGCUUGACGGCGGGGUAACGGCCCACCGUGGCUACGCUCGGUAGGGGUUCUGAGAGGAAGGUCCCCCACACUGGAACUGAGACACGGUCCAGACUCCUACGGGAGGCAGCAGUGAGGAAUAUUGGUCAAUGGGCGUAAGCCUGAACCAGCCAAGUAGCGUGCAGGACGACGGCCUAUGGGUUGUAAACUGCUGUUAUGCGGGGAUAGGUACCGCAUGAAUAAGGACCGGCUAAUUCCGUGCCAGCCGCCGCGGUAAUUC
RNAcentral lists this ribosomal RNA (407 nucleotides) under uncultured bacterium. RNAcentral's name for it is "partial 16S ribosomal RNA". It matches the Rfam family "Bacterial small subunit ribosomal RNA", at positions 28 to 526 of the family's 1533-position model. The record is from RNAcentral.